GCGAGCGUUGUCCGGAAUCACUGGGCGUAGAGGGCGCGUAGGUGGCGCUCCAAGUCUGUGGUGAAAGCUCGAUGCUCAACAUCGAGUCGGCCAUAGAGACUGGAGGGCUCGAGCACUGUAGGGGCAGAUGGAAUUCCGGGUGUAGCGGUGGAAUGCGUAGAGAUCCGGAAGAACACCGGUGGCGAAGGCGGUCUGCUGGGCAGUUGCUGACACUGAGGCGCGACAGCGUGGGGAGCAAACAGG
This 243-nucleotide ribosomal RNA is filed under the name uncultured bacterium. Its description in RNAcentral is "partial 16S ribosomal RNA". It matches the Rfam family "Bacterial small subunit ribosomal RNA", at positions 534 to 776 of the family's 1533-position model. The record is from RNAcentral.